AGACACUAGUAAUAAUAACUGAGCUUAAGCAUUUUGGACCGAUGGUUGGGCCUAACAAGUUAUUAUUGCUAGUGGGCUAGGUCGUUAUAUUUGGUAUCAGAGCCAAUCACUAGCCGAAAAUGUGUGGCGAGUCUCGGCUGAGCCAGAGUCUGAAAGAUAAGGUGAUAGGCUAUGCCAGAGUCUGUAUGACAAGGUGACUGACUAUAUUAGGGUCUGGAUAACAAAGCUAGCGAGACGAGUCUCACAUCGCCUGGUAAUCUUAGGUUGUGUGUGUGAUUGGACUGACGAGGACGUCAAGGCCUUAACGGGGGGAGUCUGUCACACCCCAAUAAUCCCACAUCAAAUAGGAAUGGGGAUGUGAUUCAAUAAUCCGACAUUGGAUAGGAAUAUGACUUAAACACUAGUAAUAAUAACUGGGCUUAAGCAUUUUGGGCUGGUGGUUGGGCCCAAUGAGUUAUUAUUGCUAGUGGGCUGGGUCGUUACAUUUGGUAUCAGAGCCAAUCCACCAGCCGAAAGUGCGAGAUGAGUCUUGAUUUAGCCAAGGUCGGAAUGACAGACUAGGCCAGGGUCGGUAAUUGACAGGCCAAGUGAGGGUCGGAAUCACAAAGGCUAGCGAGACAAGUCUCACAACGCUUGAUGAUCCUGGGCUGUGUGUGUAUUUAGGGCUGAUGAUGACGUCAGGGUCUAAACGGGGGGAGUUUGUGACACCCCAAUAGUCCCACAUCGGAUGGAAAUGGGGUUGUCAUUGGGUUUAUAAGAAGACUCUACCAUAGUAAUAAUAAUUGGGCUUAAGAAUUUUGGGCCGGUGGUUGGGCCCAACGAGUUAUUAUUGCUAGUGGGCUGGAUCGUUGACCGGUCCAAAAUGUUUAAACCCAGUUAUUAUUAUUAGUGUCUAAGUCUCUUAUAUACCCAAUCACAUCCCCUUUCAUAUCCGAUAUGGGAUUAUUGGGGUGUGACACUAUGUGACUUCCUAAGUUGGUUACGCUCGGUAACUUUGUUCUUUGACAACCAUCUGCACAUUUGCUCUAGUGUUCAUACACUGUUGAUUCGAGACUCGUCUACUCUAAAAGGAAAACAACAUGUGCAUCAAUCUCACUAGAUCAAUUACCAUCCCAAUGAUGAUCCAUCGAUUGAGAGCAUUUAGGAAUUAACCACCAAUGAUAUAUAUCUCAAAUUCUCAACUCUUGAAAAUAUGUGUUAUCAUCUUAUUAAUUUCUUGGACGAUUUGAUAACACAUAUACAACAUGAAUGAAAAUAAAAAGCCAAAUCCAUUCAUAUUAAUAUAAAAGAUCAAAUAUAUAUUUAUAUCCUAAAAAUAAUAUAUGUGUCGGCCUAUUUGGCUAUUAAGGUAAACAUCUAAAAUAUAGAACCUUGCUCAUUUGUAAAGAUCCAGUACAUCACAUAUAUAAUAUAUAAUACAUAGAUGUAUAUGUAGGUGCACUAUGUGUAGGUAAUAAUUUAUUCUCAGUAUAUAAAUAUAAGGAUUAGACUAAAUUACAGAAAAACUCCUGUCAAAAUUCGAUUUUUCACUUUUCGCCCCUGUCAUUUGAAAACCUACACUUUGUCCCCUUGUAAAAUAAAAAAUGUUUACUUCACCCCCUACCGUUAGUGAUCCGUUAGGGUUCCGCUAUAAAAUAUUUUUUAUGCCAAAAAUACCCUCCGCCUCUACUGUGCUUCGCCCUCAUCGCCUCGCCGCCUCGCCUUCCUUCACUGCCUCGCCCUCGCCCACGUCUCCGUCCGCCCCCACAAACACCCUCUCGGCCUCCUCCGCCCCCUCGCCUUCGCCCUCGUUGCCUUUGCCCAUCUUUCCAUCACCCCCACCUCGAUUUCCUCCCUACUGUCACCAAAAUGGAGGGGCGACGAGGGUGUAGGAGGAGAAGGGGAGCAGGUUGAGAAGAAAAUAGAGAGGAACCGCGGCCGAUCGAUGUGCGAACCAUGGCCAACCGAGGCGGCGGAUGAGCAAGAUGAGGGAGGAGACAAAAAUGGUGAGGGGCAAAAUGGUCAUUUUGUCAUCACAUUUCACACUAUACCCCCUGUGAACAUUUUUUAUUUUACAAGGGGGCAAAGUGUAGGUUUUUUAAAUAAUAGGGAGGAAAAGUAAAAAAUCGAGUUUUGACAGGAGGAUUUUAUGCAAUUCAGCCUAUGGAUUAAAGCAAAACUCUUUUAAAAGUUUGGGGCCCGCCACUAGCAUUAAACUCAGGGCGCGUUUGGUUCGCAUUAUGUAGCAUUACAGGUUAUUUUAAAGAUUUCUGAAUCAGAUUACUAUUGAUACUGUAUUACUACGUUUGGUUUAAUAAAAUAAUAUAAUGCUGGAUUACAGUGUAUAUAGAAUUAUUGUGUUUGGUUGAUUUUAUAAAAUUAGUAAUAUUGACAAUAAAGUGUAGUCUAUUCCAAAAUUGUCCUUAGUUAUAUUUGGUAAAUUUUUUUACUAUUGAUAAAUAAUAAUUUUUUUACUAAAUUUUAUUUAAAAUAAUAAAAAAAUUGAAUUUAAAUUUUAUUUUAAAUUUUAAAUCUGAACAAAAAUAUAAAUUUUAAUAUUUAAUUUAAAAUAUAAAUACGAAAUUUAUAAAUAUAAAAUUUGAAAUUUCAAAUAUAAAUAAAAAUUUAAAAUUUAAAAUUUGAAAUUUAAAAUAUAAAUUUGUAGUUUAAAAUUUAAAAUUUGAUAAUUUAAAGAAUAUUUUAAAUUAAAAUUUUAAAAAUAACGUAUUGACAGAGUUUAUAUUAGGGGAUUAAAGGGUAAACUUAUAAUUUUACAUAAUAUACAAAAUAACUAGCCAUCAGUAAUAUGAGAUACCCAUCCCCCACCAAUAUUUUUGAGUAAUUCUAUACUAUUUGUAAUGUUUUACAGACUGGAUGAACCAAAUAUAGUAAUCUUGACAGAUUAUCUAUAAUCCUUGUGGGAUAACCCGAACCAAAUGCGCCCUAAAAAUUUUGAGGACUCAAAUAAAUUCGGACUGAAAGUUUGGGAGAAUAGUGAUGAAAUUUUAGCCAUUGAAGAUCCAAUUUGAAUUUUUUUAGCUUUCUUGGCCGACAGUGUCUUGCUUAGUUUGGUAUUGAAAUUUAUCUGACGCUAUUAGAUAACAAAUAUAAUAUUUUUUUAUUGUACUUUCUUACCGUACGCAAUACAAUCUUUUCAUAAUAUCAAACAAAGUCUUAAUCACAUUACUCCGUUAAGAG
Molecule: long non-coding RNA, 3177 nt
Filed under: Ananas comosus (pineapple)
Lineage: Eukaryota; Viridiplantae; Streptophyta; Magnoliopsida; Poales; Bromeliaceae
Description: long non-coding RNA (ACOM_LNC024014)
Source: RNAcentral